Molecule: long non-coding RNA, 299 nt
Organism: Homo sapiens (human)
Lineage: Eukaryota; Metazoa; Chordata; Mammalia; Primates; Hominidae
Exons: 4
Source: RefSeq, a predicted model, not a curated record
GUUUUUCUCAUGAUUAAACUGGGAUUAUAAAUUUUGCAGAGGAAGAUAAGCAUUCACAACCAAAACAGGGCUUUUUGAUGACUACAAUCAACUGCCUUCAUGCUUGAGUCUAAGCUUCCUAAAUCAGAAAGCGCCAGAAAUUACACUUUGAACCUCCAAAUAGUCAACCAACAUGAGGAAUUGAGCAGGAGAAGCAAGAAGUGUUUACAGUGAAACAGUCUUCAAAGCGAGGAAUUUGCUCCUGUCUGCAGAAAUUAUGAAAUUAUUUUUUGAGAGGGAUCCCUUACCUUUAACUUGUG